Non-coding RNA from Chelonoidis abingdonii (Abingdon island giant tortoise), 466 nucleotides. Lineage: Eukaryota; Metazoa; Chordata; Testudines; Testudinidae. The record is from RefSeq and is a predicted model, not a curated record.
CCAUUUGUCCAGUAUUGUGCGACCAUUGAGAUCCGUGCGGUUAGGAGUAGAGAUGGGGAAUUCUGAACAAACAGGAUUCCCAUACAGAGGUUUACUGGGUCCUUCCACCAAUCAGAGGAUCGCUUGACCCUGGCCCAGAUUCUGAAACAGGUCCAGUGUAGGCUGAGUGACUUGCUAGGACUCUGCAAAGGACCAUACCCUGAGAAGACAGUCGUCCAGUUGUAUAGAUCCCAAGGGAUCGAAGAGUGACCCUCAAAUCUUUUAACAUAUGGAGGGAGGCAUCUGUAUUUUCAGCAAAUAAUUUUGUCCCCCAAAAGGGGUAGUCUUCCACUGUCAUUUGGACCUCCUUGAGGAAGUCAGACAGAUGAAGCCACGAGGCCUGUCUCAUCAAAACGCUGUCAAAAUAGAACGUGUUGCCAUCAAAUGUACACUGGAGUGACUUUUUGCCACCAACUGGCUCUCAUUU